CGUAACACCGUAGGUGAACCUGCGGAAGGAUCAUUAACACGUAUCCAACGUUAAAACAACCCCGUGACUUGCUCCUCCCGUGAAAGCAGCAAUCCCUGGUAAAUCAUUGCUGACCAGCUUUUGAGUCAGGGACCUCAGAUUGUGAUAUUUUAUAGCUACGGUUGAGCGAUUGCAUCUAGUGCUGGCAUCCCCAAGUAAUCAGUGUUCAUUGAUUGUGUAAGGGUGACGCAACACGGCCGGCGACCGGGUCACCGGGCUCUGCCCCUUUACGACAACUACAGUCUAACUUCGCGCGUGAAAUUCGCACGGCACCACAAACCGAACAACUGUUAACAAUGGAUAUCUUGGUUCUC
Molecule: unclassified non-coding RNA, 353 nt
Filed under: fungal sp.
Lineage: Eukaryota; Fungi
Description: partial internal transcribed spacer region
Source: RNAcentral